Molecule: long non-coding RNA, 2979 nt
Organism: Felis catus (domestic cat)
Lineage: Eukaryota; Metazoa; Chordata; Mammalia; Carnivora; Felidae
Exons: 3
Source: RefSeq, a predicted model, not a curated record
CAACUGACUGCCCCUUAAGGUUUAUUUAUUUAACUAAUCUCCGCACCUAAUGUGGGGCCUGAACUCAUGAUCCUGAGAUAGAGAGUCACAUGGUCUUCUGACUGAGUCAGCCAGGCGCCCUCUUCAACGACUUUAAACAUCAUAGUUCUGGAAUUACUAGUUAUUACAUAUUUAAAUUAUUUGAUCAUGUUCGUUGUAGCCCUUAAGUGUUUUGUCAAUAGGACUUUUCUAUUACUUGACGCUUGUUGCCAAGAUUUAGACUUGAGACACUACCUCUGCAGUUGAAACGCCACGGAUCUCAGUACUAAUUCCGUCAGCCUUUUGCUAAUUUACCCGUCAGGAUACUAAAACUUAGUCUUAAAAAUUCUCCCACUUGUUUUUACUCUAACUCUAGCAUAGCCACUAGGCUCAGAUACUGCCAAAAGAAGAAAUAAAAACAAGUCCUCUGUGAAAGAUCUAAGUGAAAAGUACAUGAAGCGAAGUUUGUGUUUUCACCAAGUCUUUAUGCACUAAACAAACACCUACCGAGUGCCGGGCGCCCUUUGAAUUACUGUGGAUACAGCAGGGAGACUGGAUCCUCCACAGGAUGGGUAUGCUUCAAUCAUGAAUAAUAAAGGACAGAUUAUGAGGCGCCUGGGUGGCUCAGUCGGUUGAGCGUCCGACUUCGCGCUCAGGUCACGAUCCGCGGUCCGUGAGUUCGAGCCCCGCGUCCGGCUCUGGGCUGACAGCUCAGAGCCUGGAGCCUGUUUCCGAUUCUGUGCCUCCCUCUCUCUCUGCCCCACCCCCGCUCAUGCUCUGUCUCUCUCUGUCAAAAAUAAAUAAACAUUAAAAAAAAAAAUAAAGGACAGAUUAAAAAUUCACGACAGUCACCACUUUUAAGAAAAUAUGAUUCACCUAUUAUGCAAAUUCACAGAAUUUAAAAAAAAACCCAUAGAGCACUAUUUGUAUUACAAAAUAGGUAUUUGUUUCAACUCACAAAGGACACAUGAGAUUUCCUUGAUGGUUGAUCUUUCCUACUGAGUUUUUAGAAUGCGAUUUGAUUGGGAAAGACUCGAUCUACAUGGUUUUUCAGAAAUAUUGCUGCAUCUAGAAAAUGCUGGCCUACCUGUUAAAUAUUUCUCACAUUCCUUUCUAUUCCCACUGAGGCUGAUUCAUGUGAUUCCACAAUCACAUUUUUCCUGGAUGAUUAGAAUCUUCUACGGGCCCCCAAAGCCGGUGUUUUUAUUUAAGUUGUAUCUUUUAUCUGAGAAUUUGAAUUCUCUGUGUAAAACGUGCAUCUCACGUGUACCUAAACCUUGUGAAGAUUUUAAUCUUGCUCUCUCCGACCACUGGCAUAAUUUGAAAAGCGAGAAUAAAGGGUUUGCUCUGACAGAAUUUUUAUGGACUCGUUUGGUCUUUAGGUCCCAUCAAAGGGAAUUUAAUUAUCAGAAAAACUAGAAGGUCUCAAGUAUCGUACGGCUCUGGGUCUUGGUCCCUGCGGCUGAGGAGAUACGAAGUCUUCGUGUAUCUUGAGUGAUUUUCCUUUCUUCCUUUUCCACUCUUAUUUUGCCAAGUGCUUGACAUUAGCAAUGCCCUAGAGUCCAGACCACAGUCCUUGGGACUUUGACUGCCACAAGAGGUUAGAGAUCAGUUGGCUUUGGGCCCAUUCCUAGUGCCUAAAUUGAGAAAUUUAAUGGUCUCUUGGGACCUUUAUAUCUUUGCCCUUAAACCUCUUUAUUCAUUAUCUUUUUGAAUGCAUGUGGCUGCUGUAAUUUUUAUUCACUUAUAAUUUUCUCUUGGUCCCAUUAAGCCUUUAUCAAGAAAAGGAUGAUUUCAUUAUUAAAUUGUUCGAUAAUCUAUUUAUUUACUUUUCUUCCAAACUCAGGGGUCUCUUUAGAAAUCGUGAUACUUUGCAGUACCUCUGAUUGACUGGGCAUGUAGUUGGAAUGUGGUUGGCCCUUGAAGAACACUGGGGUUAGGGACGCUGGCCACCCCCCCCCCCCAGUCGAAAAUUCAGUUACAACGUUGCUUCCUGAAAACUUAACUGCUAAUGGCCUACUGGCGACUCAUAUUGUUCAAGGGCUCAACUGUAGUUUUCUAGCAACUGAUAUACUGUACCCAGACCUUAGUUGUAAUUAAUUGGGUUUAGAAAUGUACUAUGUCUUUACCUAGCCUAAGUUAUUUAUUAUUGUAGAUAACUGCCACACAGAUUGAAAUCCACAACUUGAGCGCAGUUAGUAUCAUGCUGUAACCAACUGAACAAACUUUGAUGAAUUUGCAGUGAACAUUGUUCAUGCUAGGGCUCUGAUGUUCUACUUUGGGAUCUGAGGAAUUUAUUCUGUGCAAUUGAAAGACAUUUUUGGGGGUGCCUGGGUGGCUCAGUCAGACAGCACUUGAGAAAAAUGAAGGUGCUGUAUUGAGCUUCACUGAGAACUUUAUGAGUCUGCACCAGACCGUGUCUUAUAGAACACCACGGUCAUCCAGCUAAUGCUGCAGGUCUGUGCAAGGCUGGCUGUUCUGAUUCCGCCCUCACUCCACAGUGUUGAGGUACCCAGACCCACCUCUGCCGCCUGGCCCCUGCCACUCCAGGAAGCACUUCCUUCCAUCGCCUUUAGGAGGCACUGUUCCCACCGAAGGGCUGGCUUACAAAGUAAUCACAGAGCUUUUCAGGGAUGCCGGGGCUCCUCCCAGAAAUUCAUUUCUCACCAUCAUGGGGAAAGGUGUGUCUGCUGGACCCCCCCGGGGGAGUGGGGGGGGGGUGGUGAGUAGGUCUCAAAUGACAAAUCCACUCUAACGUUCCAGUCUACCUAAGCCUUUGAAUCCCUUCCUCUAUUAACCCGAGACAGGCCUGGCACUUCAUGUUCCUUUGCUGUGGCCGCUUGUGACCCACGUUUCGGCCAAGGAGCCAACUAUUAGAGCUCUUUGUGACUCUCUGAGCUGCAACACGAAAUGCAGAACCUCUGUUGAGCGCGCCCGUAUCGAUAAAUUUGGCCUGACCCA